Long non-coding RNA from Gallus gallus (chicken), 1240 nucleotides. RefSeq lists it as uncharacterized. The transcript has 3 exons. Lineage: Eukaryota; Metazoa; Chordata; Aves; Galliformes; Phasianidae. The record is from RefSeq and is a predicted model, not a curated record.
GCCGUGUCACCAGGCAAGAAUUCCAAUAUGAUGUUGAUUAUGCUGAUCUUCAGCCCCGAGGUCCAUUCCAAGGAAUGAGUGUCCCCCAUUCUUUGCCCUUCCAGCCUCGGUCACUUUGUCCUUCACAGUUAGGGAUACUUUGAUGAGAAGAGGAUGGUGUAUCAUGCUUACUUUGGAUCUUUGGUCCCUGAGAGGCAUGAGAGAAGGAGAAAAUUUGUGAAUGCAUUUCUCGAGUUUGGAUUUGCGUCAAGAAGAGAAGGUGAUGGUCUUCAGACUCUCUGCCCUCCAGAUCUGAAGACACAUUUGCGUUUUGUCUUGAGAGUGAGGCAGACCCAGUCCAACUCUGGAACGGGAAAGAAAAACGGAGGAAGGAAGAGAGCAGAAUGAGGAGGAAAUGAAUGAUGGCAAAGGCCUGCUGCAUCAUCACGUCUGUCCUGGCACACAGCUAUCUGAUCUUCAAGGGCUGUUGUAAGAUAAGUUUUAAAUGCCUCUAGUAGCAAGACACUGUCACUUUUCCUGGGAAGUUCAUCUUACAGCACUGCCUUACAGACCGUGAAUGAGAUUAUUUCCAAAUACAGGAGAUUGCCUUGCUUAGCCAGGCUCUGACUGCUUUAGUCCACAGAGAGCAUGUGUGCUGAAGAGUGGAGAACUGUGCUGUUUCCAGGUGGAAGAGAUUGGUUUCUCCAGCACAGAAAGCAAAAGGAAAGAUCUGUCAUAUCCACUGUGAGGGAGGGGACUGAGUGUAGCAGGUUGUAGCUCCAUUUUGCUUUGCUGCCUUGUGCAGAGCUUCCCAUGGAUGCAUGCGGGUAGAAACAGUGCAUCUGUGCAUUGGGAGAACUCGAAGAAUCCUUGCUGGAGCUCCUCUCCUGACCCUUGGCAAUGAUGCUGCUGGAGACAGGAUACACAUGACGCUGCUGCUUCUCUUAUUCAGAUUUUCUCCACUCUCCUUGCCCUCUUCAAGGUCAUUUCAGCAGUUGGCAGGGUAGGAAUAAUGCAGUCCAUUUUAGGAAGAUGGAAAAAACCCUUCAGUUUGCAUCCUGGCUCACUGUGAGCGCUGGGAAUGCAGACAAUGAGGGAUGGAGCCAGGCUGGAACAUGUUCCUCUCUGGCCUUUACCCUUUCCAUCCUUCCUGCCUUCCUGAGGCAGAGCAUGCUGUGAGCUUCUGCAGGAGAUGCUUCCUUUGAAAGGAACUUUUAUCACAAAGCACUUGCCCCUUAUCUGCAGACUUCAGAUGGGGACG